GACGAACGCUGGCGGCGUGCCUAAUACAUGCAAGUAGAACGCUGAAGAGAGGAGCUUGCUCUUCUUGGCUGAGUUGCGAACGGGUGAGUAACGCGUAGGUAACCUGCCUUGUAGCGGGGGAUAACUAUUGGAAACGAUAGCUAAUACCGCAUAACAAUGGAUGACACAUGUCAUUUAUUUGAAAGGGGCAAUUGUUCCACUACAAGAUGGACCUGCGUUGUAUUAGCUAGUAGGUGAGGUAAUGGCUCACCUAGGCGACGAUACAUAGCCGACCUGAGAGGGUGAUCGGCCACACUGGGACUGAGACACGGCCCAGACUCCUACGGGAGGCAGCAGUAGGGAAUCUUCGGCAAGGGGGGCAACCCUGACCGAGCAACGCCGCGGGAGUGAAGAAGGGUUUCGGAUCGUAAAGCUCUGUUGUAAGUCAAGAACGGGUGUGAGAGUGGAAAGUUCACACUGUGACGGUAGCUUACCAGAAAGGGACGGCUAACUACGUG
This 497-nucleotide ribosomal RNA is filed under the name uncultured bacterium. RNAcentral's name for it is "partial 16S ribosomal RNA". It matches the Rfam family "Bacterial small subunit ribosomal RNA", at positions 28 to 507 of the family's 1533-position model. The record is from RNAcentral.